UGCGCUCUGCCGCGCCUCCGCGCGCUGCCUGCUCAGCCAUCUCCCUCCGCCGCCUGCCUGCGCGCCGCCUGCUUCGCUUGCUCCGCCUAGCUACUCCGCGCGCCGCCUGCUCCGCUGCCCGCUGCGCCGCCUGCUUCGCCUGCUCCGCCUGCUCGCCUGCUCCGCCGUCUGCUUCGCCUGAUCCGCCGCCGCCUAAUUCGCCUGCUUCACCUGCUCCGCCGCCGCCUGCUCCGCCCCCUACCUGCCUGCUCCGAUAAGCUCAGCCCCUAAUUCGAAACCCUAGCCUAAAAUCAGGUAAU
Molecule: long non-coding RNA, 299 nt
Filed under: Salvia miltiorrhiza (redroot sage)
Lineage: Eukaryota; Viridiplantae; Streptophyta; Magnoliopsida; Lamiales; Lamiaceae
Description: long non-coding RNA (SMIL_LNC010677)
Source: RNAcentral